Molecule: long non-coding RNA, 795 nt
Organism: Micropterus dolomieu (smallmouth bass)
Lineage: Eukaryota; Metazoa; Chordata; Actinopteri; Centrarchiformes; Centrarchidae
Exons: 2
Source: RefSeq, a predicted model, not a curated record
UUUUCUUUUACUCUCUUUUUCCUGUCCUUCCUCCCUAGUAUACAGGGGUUGUGUUUGAUGGGUGAUGGCUGGAGUGGGUGACGUGAGCUGUGUGAAUGAACAACAGCAUUUCCCAUCUUUUUCUCUCUUUUACUAUCCCUCCACCCUUAUGUUUGGGCCAGGCCCAUACUCCUCUACUUUUUCACUCAGAAACUGCACUCUCUCUUUCCUUGGAGUGUUUUCCCCUCUUUGCUCUCCCACUUCUAUCUCUCCCUCUCUCUAUCACCCAGUCUGGGGCCCCUCCUUUACCCACUCUCCCCUGCUUUCUUUCUAAAGUCUUUCUCUGUCUUUCUACUCUCUCCUGCUGUGUUGCAUUCCUGUUUCAGUAGUGAAGGGGGUGGACAAGGAAGAGGGAGGGAUGAAGAGGAAGGGGGAACUUGAGCUUUAAAGAGGGAGGGAGAGGGAGAGAUGGAAAGGGGGAAGGAGGGCCCCUUUCUUUAUGAGAAUGCCUUCUGCCGGGAGUGCUGAGAGGAGAACCCCAGCAUGACUAAAGCCGUAGGCCCCAAGCACAAACCUGACCUUUGGAGGGUCCGCGCAAAGAGUCAGGUACUGUUUCAAGGAGUCAUAGCAGGCGGCAGAAAUCCUCCGGGCUGUGUCUAAACCGACUGGGCUGAAGGUUUAACUGCGGACUUCAAAGUAAAGAACCGCUGGCAUGGUCCCGGAAGGUACAUAAAAACACAGCGUCUCAGCGUUUCUCCAACCAAUGACAUAAAACAAAAUAAAAUGAACUAGAAUAAAGAUAAAACAAUAGAAGCA